UUAUAACUCACUCCGGACUGUGGACUCUGUACCCUGUGAGAUGACAGGUAAAUACUGCCCCGCACAGUGAUCUCUACAGCCCAGGAAAGAUGAGCAGAUAUAUGGGAGAAGAUCUCGGGGACUCACACAGCUUGAGGAUGUAAGAAGAAGGUGGGAGAGAGAAGCCAUGAUUCCGCUGAGGAUGCCUCUGAAAGUCUGCAAAUUGGGUUUGCAGAACAUACAGUUUCCUAUGGAACAGCCCUGAAUGUAGCAAAUGUUCCCUUCAACCAAGUAUAUGCUUAUCAGAAAUGGAGUACUUACAGCUGGAUGACUGGGAAAAAGAACCACAUAAUGACUUACUCUGACAAGAGGAACAGGAGUCUUCUGGGCUGGCAAACACUCGUGGGCUGGAAGAAUUAAUAUAAGCCUCAAAGAGACCAGUGCAGGUGGCUUAGGAAGGGGUUAGGAGACUGAGGUUUGGUGCCACUUGAGAAGUGUAAGAAUAGCCCUUGUGAGGUCCCAACAGAAAAGGCAGCUGGCAAGUGUAGUUAAGAAGCUUGGGUAUCGGAAUGUAAGCUUGUCCUUCUGCAGGAAAAGCAGAGGGACCGGAGGUUGCUAGGGUACUGAUGGACUGUGUUAAGCUACACAGGAGGGUCACCCAUAAAUCUCUAAAGAUGCCCAUACACCUUAUCUUAUAGAGGGGAUUUUAUGGUCAUGAAAUAGCUUAGGGUACCCAGAUCAAACGCCUUUUUACAGUUUCUUUAUACACCCUUCCGUUCCUGAGAUAUGUGGGUUGAUAGUUUGACACUUCAAGGAAUCAGUCAGAUGGGCGUGAACUCAAUUUAAAAAAUAUCAGAUGAUGAGCAGUCAUGGGGUGUGAAUAUUGAGGGACAUGUAUGCAACACCGCCUGGCUGUAUAAUCCCACCCAUCACCUGAUAUUCACUUCUAUUAAUAAUUACGCUCAAAACUAUAAACCCACAAACUAUAAACCCACUGGAAUGGAAGGUCACAUUAAUAAACCGUAAAAACAUGUAUAAUGAGGGUAACUAUUUAGGAUACUGCAAUCUCAAUUUUUCAGGGUUGGCCACAGAUCCUCUUUAAAGAUGGCCAACGCUCUAAGGUAUAUGGGGGUCUCCAGACUAUCCACCAGCAGAUCAUGUUGGUAGAGAUUAGAAUCGGGCAUGCUACAUUUUGUUUUGCCUGACCAUAUUUUUCUGCUGACAGAGCUGUUUGUCUGCGACUUACCCCUCCCUUCCCCAUAGAGAGAGAUAACUGUCAGCCGAAUUAGCAUUCUGUCCACAAUUAUUGCAAGUGUACGGCCAGCUUCAGGGUAAGUUCACACGAGCGGACCCACAGCGUAUUUUACUCUGCAGAUCCGCCGCUGAAGUAUCCCUACAUGGUGCCUUUACAUGUGCCUGCUCGGAGCGGCAAUAUGCCACUACGAGCAGACACACUGCAAUGUGCGAGUUGCCGCGCAUGCCUGGUUACUCGCGCACAUAGCGGCCACUCCCCCUGCUCCAUGAGCUAUGCCAAGAGCUGCCGCAGUGGGUGAGUAUACUGCACUUGCACGCUGUGACUUGCACAUCGCAGUGUGUCUGCUUGUAGCGGCGUAAUGCAGAUCCGAGCAGGCACAUGUAAAGCCACCAUGCAGGAGUCCUUCAGCGGCGGAUUUGCAGCGUUAAAUACACUGUGGGUCCACUUGUGUAAUCAUACCCUAAGAGAGACUAGGAGGGCGACUUACAGUCAUCUGUUCCAGUGAUGCAGAGGUAUAGGCUGAGUUACUGUCAAACCCUGAGUAGUAAGCUUUAGAGAGUCCUCUGGGGAUUUAAACAUAACGUCAGCCCUUUCAAACCAUUGGGAAGGCUGAAUUUAGGCCAUCUAAGGGGCUGAACGCAAAUUCCUUAGAAUUACUGUGAUCUGCAUUGUCCUCUUUUAAAGUAAAACCAUACAAGAGUGAGAAAAGUCAAUUACAAGUAAAUCACAUGAUAUAAUGCCAAAACUAUCCCAAUAUAACCAUUCCAUACGUGUGCCGUACAAUAUUGUAUAAAAAAAAAUUGUAAAAUGAACAUUAAAGGAAAUGUUGUCAAACGAUAAA
This is a long non-coding RNA of Hyla sarda, 2075 nucleotides long. RefSeq lists it as uncharacterized. The transcript is spliced from 3 exons. The record is from RefSeq and is a predicted model, not a curated record. Lineage: Eukaryota; Metazoa; Chordata; Amphibia; Anura; Hylidae.